UUUAUGGAGAGUUUGAUCCUGGCUCAGGAUGAACGCUGGCGGCGUGCCUAAUACAUGCAAGUCGAGCGAACGGACGAGAAGCUUGCUUCUCUGAUGUUAGCGGCGGACGGGUGAGUAACACGUGGAUAACCUACCUAUAAGACUGGGAUAACUUCGGGAAACCGGAGCUAAUACCGGAUAAUAUUUUGAACCGCAUGGUUCAAAAGUGAAAGACGGUCUUGCUGUCACUUAUAGAUGGAUCCGCGCUGCAUUAGCUAGUUGGUAAGGUAACGGCUUACCAAGGCAACGAUGCAUAGCCGACCUGAGAGGGUGAUCGGCCACACUGGAACUGAGACACGGUCCAGACUCCUACGGGAGGCAGCAGUAGGGAAUCUUCCGCAAUGGGCGAAAGCCUGACGGAGCAACGCCGCGUGAGUGAUGAAGGUCUUCGGAUCGUAAAACUCUGUUAUUAGGGAAGAACAUAUGUGUAAGUAACUGUGCACAUCUUGACGGUACCUAAUCAGAAAGCCACGGCUAACUACGUGCCAGCAGCCGCGGUAAUACGUAGGUGGCAAGCGUUAUCCGGAAUUAUUGGGCGUAAAGCGCGCGUAGGCGGUUUUUUAAGUCUGAUGUGAAAGCCCACGGCUCAACCGUGGAGGGUCAUUGGAAACUGGAAAACUUGAGUGCAGAAGAGGAAAGUGGAAUUCCAUGUGUAGCGGUGAAAUGCGCAGAGAUAUGGAGGAACACCAGUGGCGAAGGCGACUUUCUGGUCUGUAACUGACGCUGAUGUGCGAAAGCGUGGGGAUCAAACAGGNNUNNNNNNCCNNGNNNNNCNNNNCCGUAAACGAUGAGUGCUAAGUGUUAGGGGGUUUCCGCCCCUUAGUGCUGCAGCUAACGCAUUAAGCACUCCGCCUGGGGAGUACGACCGCAAGGUUGAAACUCAAAGGAAUUGACGGGGACCCGCACAAGCGGUGGAGCAUGUGGUUUAAUUCGAAGCAACGCGAAGAACCUUACCAAAUCUUGACAUCCUUUGACAACUCUAGAGAUAGAGCCUUCCCCUUCGGGGGACAAAGUGACAGGUGGUGCAUGGUUGUCGUCAGCUCGUGUCGUGAGAUGUUGGGUUAAGUCCCGCAACGAGCGCAACCCUUAAGCUUAGUUGCCAUCAUUAAGUUGGGCACUCUAAGUUGACUGCCGGUGACAAACCGGAGGAAGGUGGGGAUGACGUCAAAUCAUCAUGCCCCUUAUGAUUUGGGCUACACACGUGCUACAAUGGACAAUACAAAGGGCAGCGAAACCGCGAGGUCAAGCAAAUCCCAUAAAGUUGUUCUCAGUUCGGAUUGUAGUCUGCAACUCGACUACAUGAAGCUGGAAUCGCUAGUAAUCGUAGAUCAGCAUGCUACGGUGAAUACGUUCCCGGGUCUUGUACACACCGCCCGUCACACCACGAGAGUUUGUAACACCCGAAGCCGGUGGAGUAACCUUUUAGGAGCUAGCCGUCGAAGGUGGGACAAAUGAUUGGGGUGAAGUCGUAACAAGGUAGCCGUAUCGGAAGGUGCGGCUGGAUCACCUCCUUU
RNAcentral lists this ribosomal RNA (1553 nucleotides) under Staphylococcus aureus. Its description in RNAcentral is "16S ribosomal RNA". It matches the Rfam family "Bacterial small subunit ribosomal RNA". The record is from RNAcentral. Lineage: Bacteria; Bacillati; Bacillota; Bacilli; Caryophanales; Staphylococcaceae.